RNAcentral lists this ribosomal RNA (465 nucleotides) under uncultured bacterium. RNAcentral describes it as "partial 16S ribosomal RNA". It matches the Rfam family "Bacterial small subunit ribosomal RNA", at positions 28 to 507 of the family's 1533-position model. The record is from RNAcentral.
GACGAACGCUGGCGGCGUGCUUAACACAUGCAAGUCGAACGGAAAGGCCCCCUUGUGGGGUACUCGAGUGGCGAACGGGUGAGUAACACGUGAGUAACCUACCCUUGACUUUGGGAUAACUUCAGGAAACUGGGGCUAAUACCGGAUAGGAGCUCCUGCUGCAUGGUGGGGGUUGGAAAGUUUCGGCGGUUGGGGAUGGACUCGCGGCUUAUCAGCUUGUUGGUGGGGUAGUGGCUCACCAAGGCUUUGACGGGUAGCCGGCCUGAGAGGGUGACCGGCCACAUUGGGACUGAGAUACGGCCCAGACUCCUACGGGAGGCAGCAGUGGGGAAUAUUGCACAAGGGGCGGAAGCCUGAUGCAGCAACGCCGCGUGCGGGAUGACGGCCUUCGGGUUGUAAACCGCUUUCGCCUGUGACGAAGCGUGAGUGACGGUAAUGGGUAAAGAAGCACCGGCUAACUACGUG